RNAcentral lists this long non-coding RNA (549 nucleotides) under Cyanistes caeruleus (blue tit). Its description in RNAcentral is "lncRNA (ENSCCEG00000023679.1)". The record is from RNAcentral. Lineage: Eukaryota; Metazoa; Chordata; Aves; Passeriformes; Paridae.
CCUUGAUUUCCUUCAUUACCCCCAAGAAGUUAAAAAGGCAGGCUGGUUGAAGAAAAGUAGUAGUAAUGAAGUGAGUGGUUUUGCGAGUCUGGGGCCUCUGUUUUGCUCCUGACGUUUUUGUUUGUUUUGGUUUUUUUUUGUUUUGUCCCUGUGUGGUACAAAAAUGGCUGUGCUUUGAGAGUGGGUAAUAGGGGAGGUGAUUGUCAGACUGGAUUAUGUUGUUUUUUGAGACUUUUUUUUUUUCUCCUGUUGUUAGUAGCCUAGAAGAACUUUGUUUAUUGCUGGGGUGUUUCUUGUGUUGAGGGCUCUCAUCUAGAGGGCAGAGACACUCAUGAAGACUACUGAGCCCAGUGAUCCAGUGUUAUGCUUGGAGGGGCUAUGACAGGUGUGGAUGUCCAGAAAGAAAGACAGAAGGAGAAAAUCUACAGGCAGAAACAGGGAGGACAGUGGGCAAAUUGUGGUAAUGUUUCCCAUCUAGAACAUCGCUGAGGUAAGUGAAAUUUAAGUAAGUGAACGGUGCCAGAAUAAAAGUUACCAGCUCCUUUUCCA